GUUUCUUGUUGAGCUCCUGGGGACUUUCCUGGUGCAGGGAUUGACUUGCACUUUAUCUGAGCCCUGGCAGCCAUGCAGGUUGGCAAAGAAGAUCUGGGCCAGUCCUGAGCUCCUGCAGGGGAUCUCCUGGUGGUGGGAUAGAUCCAGGGCUAUCCUGUUCAAUGGGCUCCCAUGCAUGUCAGCAAGGCAGAUCUUGGAGGAGCAAGAGCUCCUGCGGUGUUCUGCAGGUGGUGGGAUAACCCUGGGCCUACCCUGAACUCUUGCUCCUGCACAGGUCGUUGAGGAGGACCUGAGCUGUGUAUGAGCUCCAGAACAUGUCUUCCUAGAGGCGAUCCUGGGUGGAUGCUAAGCUCCAGCCAGUGUAUCCUGUUGGCGGGAUGAACUUGGGCCUAACCUGUGCUGAGGCUCCCUUGCAAAUCUGCAUGGUCAAUCUGGGCAGAGACUGAGCUCCUGCUGGGGUCUGCAGGUAGCGUGAAAGACCAGGGCUUACCCUGUGCUCCUCCUCCCGUUCAGGUCAUAGAAGCUGAUUUAGGCCAGUACUGAGCCCCAGCACGUGUCUUUCGGUGGCCAGAGGAGAUCCUGGGCCAUGCCUGAGUUCUGGAGAGAGUUCCAGUGGGCGAAGGCAUUUCUGAGCUCCAGCAUGGUUGGCUGGUGGGUGCAGGUUGUCCAGGCCAAACCUGAGCUCUGGUGGAGGUCUCACAGAGGUUUUAUGGACCCGGGCUACCCUGUCCCCUGGAUCUUGGGCAUGUUGGCAAUGUAGAUCUAGGCAGAACCUGAGAUCCAGCAGGGGUCAUUUGGUGGAGGAAUGGAUCCUGUGUUACCUUGGGCACCAUCUCCUGUGCAGGUCGGCAAGG
Molecule: long non-coding RNA, 854 nt
Filed under: Marmota monax (woodchuck)
Lineage: Eukaryota; Metazoa; Chordata; Mammalia; Rodentia; Sciuridae
Source: RNAcentral